UGAUGGCUGUUCCUCUCAUUGCUUUGAGAUUUGCCAAUGGGAUUUUAGGCCAUCACAGAUCAAAUCUGGUCUUUCUUCACUCAGGGCACCAUUGGAUGGAUGGGCCAUCUGUUAGUGCUUUCUGAAUUUUGCGGGGCCAGACAUAU
Notamacropus eugenii (tammar wallaby) is the source of this 146-nucleotide small nucleolar RNA. Ensembl annotates it as small nucleolar RNA, H/ACA box 79B. Its record names the gene SNORA79B. The record is from Ensembl. NCBI's taxonomy places the organism in Eukaryota, Metazoa, Chordata, Mammalia, Diprotodontia, Macropodidae.